Long non-coding RNA from Herpailurus yagouaroundi (jaguarundi), 1435 nucleotides. RefSeq lists it as uncharacterized. The transcript has 3 exons. Lineage: Eukaryota; Metazoa; Chordata; Mammalia; Carnivora; Felidae. The record is from RefSeq and is a predicted model, not a curated record.
AAGGCGGGCCGAGCCAGAAUGGGAAGGCAAUGCAGAGUCAUGCAAUUUUAUAAAUACAGAAAUACUCGUGAUCGGAUUUGUGUUCAGAAAGAACUAACAUAGGGGAGAAUGGAAAGUAGACCGGGAGAGGCAAACAUAGGGAAGGAAGACCCAAGAAGGGGAGUCCCUUUGCAGUGAUCCAGGAGAACCAUGAUAAGGCCACCGAGGGCAAGGCAACCAUGAACAGCAGACCCACUGUGGAGUCUCCUGGGAAAGUGUGAACAUGACAGUGAACAGCUUACAUCAAAGACAUUUCAAUUCUGCAACAAGCCUUUCUGCUUCGGGGGACACUACGGACAUGAAUGAGAAGAUAGAAGAAUUCUGGGAGAACUGCUACCCUCCUGGGUCAAAGAUGGGGCUGCUUUUCUGCCAGUUGGACCUUCUCAGUACCUGAAAUGUAACAUCUAGAAAGAGAACACAUCAGAUCCUCCUAAAUUAGUUUCUUCUGAUUCUGUUUGCUCAGUCACUCCAGCUCAAAAGCUCUGUCACCAUGUUUAACUACUUGUCUAGUACCCCUUAUAUUACUUGCCAAUUUAUAUUCAUUCUGUGUCCACUGCCUUCACAAUGUCUUCUUUAUCACUUCCCUUCUUUCCACUCCCACUUACACAGUCCUCACAGAAGCCCUCAUUACUCCUCACUUGGACAACCGUAAUAGCUUUCUAACUGUCUCCUCACCUACCCUUUCCAAGCCCUAAUGCAUUCUACUCGCGACUGACAUAUUAAUCUUCCUAAAGUCUAUCUUUAAUCAUGUCAUCCCCUUGCUUGCAAAUGUCAAAUGUCUUCCCAGUGACUACUAAAUUAAGUACUAAGUUUUCGCCCUAACAUUCAAGGCUCCCCAGAGUAAGCCUUAGCUGAUCAUUUGUGCCUCAUUUCCCAUUAGUCUUCCAAGCCCCUUAUGGUCAAUCUAGACUAUGAGCCAAUCCUCAGUCACAUCUCCUGAGCAAAUCCCUCUAUUCAUUCUUGUCCUUCUUCAAAGAAUGUCCUUUGCCCUCAUUUUAGCUUAGAAUGCCACCCAUUCUGCAAGGUCAGUCAUGGAAUGCUUCAUGGAACAUUUCUGGACUUUCCCCUGCUGAAUAUAAUUUCUCACCAUUAUUUGUGCCUCUCUUAAAGCACUAAUCACAGUCCUAUGAAGAGUUAAAAAGUUGCAGGAACUUAGAGCAAGGAGAUCUAUCCAACUUACUCUCUCAUGAAUUGGAGCAAGAAUGUAAUCCUUUAAAAAUCUCAGUUUAUGUAAUAAAAUUCAACAAAUAUUUAUUAAGAACCAUCUCUAUGCUUGGAAUAUAGCAGUGAACAAAACAAAUACUUACCUUCUAAGGGAGAUGGCAGAUAUACAGGCAUUUAGAAAUAUACAAGGUGGGCAUCUGGAUGGUUCAUGUGGUUAAGCAUCUGACUCUUG